GUAUAGACGUUGAGAUCAUACGGUGAAGUAUUUUAUUUGAAUAAUUGAACAAAUCAAGACUAUUGUGGUAUUUUAUUUUAUUUUAUUUUAGUUAUAGCCUAAUAGGGAAUGUGAAGGUACGUCACACAGUGUUGCAUUAUGGGACGUGGGCGCCAUGUUUAGAGGCACGAUCUCUGUUUACGUUUUCGCCAACCAUUGCUAUGACAUUUAAUUGUGGGUGUGUUUGGCUAAAACGAGGUAAAAUUGAAGAACGGAAGUAAUGGAGAAGUUGAAAGAAAAAGAGAAGGGGCCCUAUCGGGAGAAACUAAAUGCCACUUCCAAAAAAAAAACGUUAUUUAGACAAACUGUCCGAGAUAAACAAGAUAGAUCCAUUUGAUUUAGCAGCCCAAGACUGGAUUACGGAUCCAGACGCACUACCUCCGCUCACAUGUAUGGACAUCGUCAAUUACCUCGUUUUAGGAUUGAGUGCGUACACUUUGCAGGAGUUUAAGAGCUAUAAAUCCCUUCAAGCUCAUGAACAGUUUUGCAGCGGCUGGGUACAAGACCUCCUCAUUCACAGGCCGCCUAACUGCAAGAGCACAGUCGUACUGGCAAAGGUGAUGCACUCCCAGUGCCUUGGUGAAGUUCCUCUGAAGGCUUGGGUUAUUAUCAACACCAAUGGUGAAGUUUCCUCAGCCCACUGUACGUGUAUGCCUGGAGUUGCAGAGACAUGCACCCAUGUUGAAGAAUGUCAGUACCCAAACAGUUAUCUGGAACCACUGACUUCCAUAGAUUUUUUUUUCCUGCUAUGGAAGUCAGUGGUUCCAGGUAACUGUUUGGUUAUUGACAUUCUUCAAAAUAUCUUCCUUUGUGUUCAGCAGAAGAAAGAAAUUCAUACAGGUUUGAAACAACUUGAGGGUGAAUAAAUGACAGAAUUUUCAUUUUAAAGUAAACUAUCCCUUUAAAGGGUCUCUGUGAAUACAAUCAGUACAGAAACAGAUAAGUCACUUAAUGUAUUUAAUAAGCAGUUAUAUAAAAACUUGAGUCAGAAACACUUCAAAAAGGCAUGUAAAAAUAUGUACAGAAUAUCAAAGCAAAUUGUUCAUUGAAAACAAAAUAAAUAAUUUUUGAUUCAUGCAAUGUGGCCUGUCUUUAUCAUCUGCUAACAUAAUCCACAAAUUCAACAUCAUUCAUCAACUAUCCUACAAAUCAUCAAGGAAUAUACAAUACACAACACCUUUUGCUUUGUACAACUUUUAACAAACGUUUUUACAAACCAGUUGAUUUAGCAAUCACUGCACAACACUUGGACACAUGUUUGUAAGAGCACAGCAGACUGUGACAACUUUCUUCUUGUUCUUUCUCCUCCCCUUCCUCUCCUGGCCUCUUGCUAAUUACCUGAUGUUUGAGGUAUUUUCUUAACUGACGUGCAAACCUCUCUUUGUUCAUCACUUUCACUUCAUUGUGGCCCAGAAGUAAAGAUGGUGCCCAGUCAGGAUGAGUAUCCAGCAUUUCAAAUGCUGGUUGUCCUGUAAAUACAGCAAUUUUGUAGGUUAUAGACAAUUAUGGACAUCUUCAUAUACUUUCAACACACAUACAUCUACAUAUACACACACACACUCACACAUAUAUAUAUAUACAUAUACAUAAUUAUGUUAGUGUAACCGUCUUCUUCUGUCUGCGUUGUGUUGUUAAUUCAGUGCAAAAAAAGACAGGAGAGCACCAGAUUGGGUCUGCAUAAGAGAAUAUAUUUUGUUUUACAGGCCGUCACGCCAGCUUCAGCUCAAUUACACAGUGACACUCAGUUCGGGAGAAAGGCAGAAAAGGGAGAAAACGAAGGAAGACAAAAAUAGGGUUUUGUCAAUGCAUACCUGCAUAAGAGAAUAUAUUUUGUUUUACAGGCCGUCACGCCAGCUUCAGCUCAAUUACACAGUGACACUGCCAAAAAACAUAACAUUCCCAAUAUAUUGUGAAUAAAAUAAAUAAAAACAACUUAAACAUCGUGUGUGUGACUUGUUUUCAACCAAUGCUAACAACUAAUCGGUAGCAUAGAAUACAGCAUACCUCGGGAGAAAGGCAGAAAAGACCGCUCAAAGAUUAAUACAGCGGAUAUAGCUGCCUGGACCGAACCACUUUGUUGUAAAGAGGAGGGGAGGGGGGGGGGCGGUCAAACCAUCACCUCUUUACAGACCGUUUUUUAAUGAAUUUUAUGAAUAUAAACACUUGUUUCAAUAAUAGUAAAACAGCCUUAAAUGUAUAAUAACAGAAAAAUCUUGUGAAAUUAAACCAUUUUAACCUCGUUACACUCACCCCCACUGAUUUCACUAGAUUUUACAUAACAUCAUAAAAAGAGUAAUACAUAAAAAAAUAAAUAAAUAAAUAAAUCAUGCCCAAAAUACUCAACUCUACAGUUAGAUGACUCAGCAAUCAAGUGUAUCUCCCAAACAUGAAGACUGAAGAAAGUCUACCAACAUUAUCGCUGUCCACAGAAGGACUAGGAAAGAGAAAGGUUAGCUACUCCUUUACCUAACCAUAGGAAGACAUGCCAUAUACACAUCUUAUCGACAAAUUACAUCCAAGAUUGCAUAAUUGUCUAAUUGUCAUAGACUACACAAAUGUGUUUUUUUUUUCUUUACAAGGACAUUGAAAACGUGAAAUGAAAGAGAGAAAAAAAACAAUAAUAAUAACACAUGAACUCUUUAUCAACUCUUCUUGUUUUCUCCAAACGAGAUCGACAAAAGAUAGGUUAGAUAUAGUCUUAAUGAGCCUAUUUAACGGCUAUACCAGUCUGAAUGAGCCUAUUUAACGGCUUUACUAGUCUGAAUGAACCUAUUUAACGGCUUUACUAGUCUUAGACUGUACACUAUUACACAUUAACCCUCUUAAACAAAAUAGAAAACAGAAAAUGUAUCAAUAGAAAUUGUAACAACAGAACAAAAACACAAAAAAUAUAUAUAUAUAUAUAUACACACAAGUAACCAUCUACCAAUUACUCAUAGUAUCAUUUUCUUUUACCCAAAAAGAUUCUUAACAAAUUGACUAGACAUAGUCUGAAUGAGCCUAUUUAACGGCUUUACAAGUCUGCCAUGUCUAGUACGAUAACCCUCACUCUGCCCAGGCCUUUCCACUGACAGCUCCUUUCCAAAGGUAGAUGGUGGUACAGAGGGGGGAUGCUCAUUAACCAGGCUUCCUUCGUGAACUUACUUAAUCUCAGUGACAUUCUCCUCACUCAAAUUGACACUUGUUGCCGAAUCAUCCUGAUUCCCAUUCCUUAAUUCAGAGUGGUCACAACCGCGUUUAUCAUUGCCCACAUGGAAAUCAACACCAGUAACCGUAACAUCACACUCACUGGAAGCAGAAGUUACCAACUCCCCCUCAAAUUCUACAUCAUCACUUUCGUGAACAGUUCCCUCACACAUCACAUUCUGCUCAUCCACUUCAUCUCUAUGUGCGACAGAACCACCAGACCUGCUAGAGUGGUCAGCAACCCACUGAGUAGUCCUUUCUUCUGCAAGCUGCUCAAAACUAGAGUCCUCAGGUUCAUCACCACUCAUACUGGAUAACUGUUCCUCGACAGCGCCUGCAUCAAGCAAAGGCAGAAAGUCAACCGGCAUAAUCAGAUUCCUAUGAACAGUUUUAACAACGCCCAAAAGGCUUCUGAGUUUGUACGUGUUCAUUAAGGAAUUUUUGUCAAUCACUACAUAAACUGUACUCUCCCAACGAUCUGCCAGUUUCUUUUUACCUCUUUCGCCUUUGUUGGCUAAUAAAACUCUUUGCCCAAUGUCAAUUGACUGUCCUUUACACCUUUUGUUAUACAUUUCUGCUUGUUUGUGUUGUUGUUUUUCUGAAUGGGACUGUGCAAGCUUCAUAGCUUCACAGAGGUCUCGCUUGAGUGACUGCACAUACUUAUCAAUGUCAACUGUUUCUCCACUCAAAAGUACAGGUUCAAACAUCAGGUCAACGGGUAGUCUCGGAGUACGGCCGUACAUGAGAAAAAAAGGUGAAAAACCUGUAGUUUCGUGAACUGUACAAUUAUAUGCAAAAGUCAAGGUGUUCAACAUUUGUGGCCAUCUGAUUUUAGAUCUGGGGGGCAGUGCACGGAUCAUGUUACCAAGAGUACGGUUCAUUCGUUCCACCUGGCCAUUGCCCAUUGGAUGGUACGGUGUGGUGUGCGUUUUGUCAAUACCAGCCAACUGACACAGCUCUGCAAUCAAUAGACUCUCAAAAUUGGCGCCCUGGUCAGAGUGAAUGCUAACUGGAAAACCAUACAUGCAAAAGAAGUUAUUCCAAAGAACCCGUGCCACUGUCUUCGCAGAUUGAUUAGCACAAGGAUAUGCACAUGCCAACUUCGUGAAAUGGUCAGUGACUACUAAAACGUCAACAGACUUAUUGUUGUGGUCUUCAGCUGACCAAAAGUCUAUACAGACUAAUUCGAGUGGCGACGAAGUGGUAAUGGAAACUAAUGGGGCCCUAGCCUCAGGCUCUGGGGCUUUACUCACAAUGCAUCUCUUACAGUAGUGUACGUAAUCCUUCACAUCUUUCUCCAUUGUAUCCCAAUAAA
RNAcentral lists this long non-coding RNA (4540 nucleotides) under Carassius auratus (goldfish). RNAcentral's name for it is "lncRNA (ENSCARG00000003541.1)". The record is from RNAcentral. Lineage: Eukaryota; Metazoa; Chordata; Actinopteri; Cypriniformes; Cyprinidae.